This 600-nucleotide ribosomal RNA is filed under the name uncultured Thermoplasmatales archaeon. RNAcentral's name for it is "bacterial SSU rRNA". It matches the Rfam family "Archaeal small subunit ribosomal RNA", at positions 526 to 1127 of the family's 1478-position model. The record is from RNAcentral. Lineage: Archaea; Methanobacteriati; Thermoplasmatota; Thermoplasmata; Thermoplasmatales.
UGGCCGGGCAAAUCUCCGGGUAAAUCGGGCCGCCCAACGGUCCGAAUUCCGGAGACACUGCUCGGCUUGGGAUCGGGAGAGGGUGAAGGUACUCCCGGGGUAGGGGUAAAGUCCUGUAAUCCUGGGGGGACCACCAGUGGCGAAGGCGUUCACCUAGAACGAAUCCGACAGUGAGGGACGAAGCCCUAGGGCGCAAACGGGAUUAGAUACCCCGGUAGUCUAGGGUGUAAACUCUGCAGACUUGGUGUUGGGGGUCCUGCGUGGGCUCCCAGUGCCGGAGCGAAGGUGUUAAGUCUGCCGCUUGGGGAGUAUGGUCGCAAGACUGAAACUUAAAGGAAUUGGCGGGAGAGCACCGCAACGGGAGGAGCGUGCGGUUCAAUUGGAUUCAACGCCGGGAAACUCACCGGGGGCGACGGAGGGAUGAAAGCCAGGCCGAAGACCUUGCCCGAUUCUCCGAGAGGUGGUGCAUGGCCGUCGUCAGUUCGUACCGUAAGGCGUUCUGUUAAGUCAGAUAACGAACGAGACCCUCGCCCUUAGUCGCGAUUUCACGAGCGAUCGUGAGAGCACACUAGGGGGAUCGCUGCCGCUAAGGCUGAGGAA